Molecule: long non-coding RNA, 251 nt
Filed under: Setaria italica (foxtail millet)
Lineage: Eukaryota; Viridiplantae; Streptophyta; Magnoliopsida; Poales; Poaceae
Description: long non-coding RNA (SITA_LNC004792)
Source: RNAcentral
AAGGUUCCUGCCUUUAGGUUGAAAGGAUCAUGUAAUGUUUUUUGUUGCUGUCAAAUGUUGGACGAUGAAAACAAAGGGUAUUUUUAGGGCUGUCUGCCUAUUACUCGGAUGUUUUAGGGACCAUCAACAUCUGAAUUAGAUGGAAAUCCAAUAGUCCAGGUGCAUCUUCAACCUCACCUCCAUCCUACCCCCGGGCUCUUAGUCAGAUCCACCACCGCCCCAAGUCCCCAAUGCUAACCUCUCAACUCGUG